CGCUAGCGACAGGCCUAACACAUGCAAGUCGAGGGGCAUCGGGGCGAGGAGCAAUCCUUGCCGCCGGCGACCGGCGCACGGGUGAGUAACGUGUAUGCGACCUGCCCGUUGCAGGGGGAUAAUCGGGAGAAAUCCCGUCUAAGACCGCGUAACGCCGCGGGGCUGCAUGGCCCUGCGGCCAAAGGGAGCGAUUCCGGCAACGGAUGGGCAUGCGUGACAUUAGCUAGUUGGCGGGGCAACGGCCCACCAAGGCGACGAUGUCUAGGGGUUCUGAGAGGAAGGUCCCCCACACUGGUACUGAGACACGGAUCAGACUCCUACGGGAGGCAGCAGUGAGGAAUAUUGGUCAAUGGGCGCGAGCCUGAACCAGCCAAGUCGCGUGAGGGAUGACGGCCCUACGGGUUGUAAACCUCUUUUGUCGGGGAGCAAAUUCCGCCACGUGUGGCGGAGUCGAGAGUACCCGAAGAAAAAGCAUCGGCUAACUCCGUGCCAGCAGCCGCGGUAAUACGGAGGAUGCGAGCGUUAUCCGGAUUUAUUGGGUUUAAAGGGUGCGUAGGCGGACUGUCAAGUCAGCGGUAAAAUACGGGGGCUCAACCUCCGCCCGCCGUUGAAACUGACGGUCUUGAGUGGGCGAGAAGUAUGCGGAAUGCGUGGUGUAGCGGUGAAAUGCAUAGAUAUCACGCACAACUCCGAUUGCGAAGGCAGCAUACCGGCGCCCAACUGACGCUGAAGCACGAAAGCGUGGGUAUCGAACAGGAUUAGAUACCCUGCUACUCCACGCAGUAACGAUGAAUACUAGCUGUCCGGGGCGAAUGAGCCCUGGGUGGCACAGCGAAAGCGUUAAGUAUUCCACCUGGGGAGUACGCCGGCAACGGUGAAACUCUAAGGAAUUGACGGGGGCCCGCACAAGCGGAGGAACAUGUGGUUUAAUUCGAUGAUACGCGAGGAACCUUACCCGGGCUCAAACGACACAGGAACGUACCUGAAAGGGUUCGGCUCUACGGAGCCUGUGUCGAGGUGCUGCAUGGUUGUCGUCAGCUCGUGCCGUGAGGUGUCGGCUUAAGUGCCAUAACGAGCGCAACCCCCAUCGACAGUUGCUAACAGGUUAGGCUGAGGACUCUGUCGAGACUGCCGGCGCAAGCUGCGAGGAAGGCGGGGAUGACGUCAAAUCAGCACGGCCCUUACGUCCGGGGCGACACACGUGUUACAAUGGCAGGUACAGCGGGAAGCCACCUGGCGACAGGGAGCGGAACCCGAAAGCCUGUCUCAGUUCGGAUUGGAGUCUGCAACCCGACUCCAUGAAGCUGGAUUCGCUAGUAAUCGCGCAUCAGCCACGGCGCGGUGAAUACGUUCCCGGGCCUUGUACACACCGCCCGUCAAGCCAUGGAAGCCGGGGGUGCCUGAAGUGCGCUGCCGCGAGGAGCGCCCUAGGGUAAAACCGGUGACUGGGGCUAAGUCGUAACAAGGUAGCCGU
Molecule: ribosomal RNA, 1474 nt
Filed under: uncultured bacterium
Lineage: Bacteria
Description: 16S ribosomal RNA
Rfam family: Bacterial small subunit ribosomal RNA
Source: RNAcentral